This 469-nucleotide ribosomal RNA is filed under the name uncultured bacterium. RNAcentral's name for it is "bacterial SSU rRNA". It matches the Rfam family "Bacterial small subunit ribosomal RNA", at positions 30 to 490 of the family's 1533-position model. The record is from RNAcentral.
AUUGAACGCUGGCGGCAUGCUUUACACAUGCAAGUCGAACGGCAGCACGGGUGCUUGCACCUGGUGGCGAGUGGCGGACGGGUGAGUAAUGCAUCGGAACGUGUCCUGAAGUGGGGGAUAACGCAUCGAAAGAUGUGCUAAUACCGCAUAUUCUCUGAGGAGGAAAGUAGGGGAUCGAAAGACCUUAUGCUUUUGGAGCGGCCGAUGUCUGAUUAGCUAGUUGGUAGGGUAAUGGCUUACCAAGGCGACGAUCAGUAGUUGGUCUGAGAGGACGACCAGCCACACUGGGACUGAGACACGGCCCAGACUCCUACGGGAGGCAGCAGCGGGGAAUAUUGGACAAUGGGGGGAACCCUGAUCCAGCGAUGCCGCGUGUGUGAAGAAGGCCUGCGGGUUGUAAAGCACUUUCAGUGGGAAAGAGAAGCGUCUUGUGAAUAAUGGGACGUGGAGACGUUACUCACAGAAGAAG